AGAGUCAGUCUGAAAGUGUCCUUGCCCAGCGACCUGGGAGCAGCACUGACCGACGGGGUCGUCCUCUGCCAUCUGGCAAAUCAUGUGCGGCCACGAUCCGUACCCAGCAUCCAUGUGCCCUCCCCUGCUGUGCCCAAACUGACGAUGGCCAAGUGUCGGCGGAACGUGGAGAACUUUCUGGAGGCGUGUCGCAGGAUCGGGGUUCCACAGGAGAGGCUGUGCACAGUGGAGGAGGUUCUGGAUGGCCGGGGAGGCUGUGUUUACGGGACGCUGGGGGUCCUGCUUUCCAUGG
This is a non-coding RNA of Salvelinus sp. IW2-2015, 292 nucleotides long. NCBI's taxonomy places the organism in Eukaryota, Metazoa, Chordata, Actinopteri, Salmoniformes, Salmonidae. The record is from RefSeq and is a predicted model, not a curated record.